This 74-nucleotide transfer RNA is filed under the name Acetobacter cerevisiae. RNAcentral's name for it is "tRNA-Met". It matches the Rfam family "tRNA". From Rfam's summary of the family: Transfer RNA (tRNA) molecules are approximately 80 nucleotides in length. Their secondary structure includes four short double-helical elements and three loops (D, anti-codon, and T loops). Further hydrogen bonds mediate the characteristic L-shaped molecular structure. tRNAs have two regions of fundamental functional importance: the anti-codon, which is responsible for specific mRNA codon recognition, and the 3' end, to which the tRNAs corresponding amino acid is attached (by aminoacyl-tRNA synthetases). tRNAs cope with the degeneracy of the genetic code in two manners: having more than one tRNA (with a specific anti-codon) for a particular amino acid; and 'wobble' base-pairing, i.e. permitting non-standard base-pairing at the 3rd anti-codon position. The record is from RNAcentral. Lineage: Bacteria; Pseudomonadati; Pseudomonadota; Alphaproteobacteria; Acetobacterales; Acetobacteraceae.
GGUAGGGUGGAGCAGUCUGGUAGCUCGCUUGGCUCAUAACCAAGAAACCGCAGGUUCAAAUCCUGCCCCUGCAA